Molecule: ribosomal RNA, 427 nt
Filed under: uncultured beta proteobacterium
Lineage: Bacteria; Pseudomonadati; Pseudomonadota; Betaproteobacteria
Description: partial 16S ribosomal RNA
Rfam family: Bacterial small subunit ribosomal RNA
Source: RNAcentral
UGGGGAAUUUUGGACAAUGGGGGCAACCCUGAUCCAGCCAUGCCGCGUGCGGGAAGAAGGCCUUCGGGUUGUAAACCGCUUUUAGCUGGGAAGAAAAGGCACGUUUGAAUACGACGUGUUCUUGACGGUACCGGCGGAAUAAGCACCGGCUAACUACGUGCCAGCAGCCGCGGUAAUACGUAGGGUGCGAGCGUUAAUCGGAAUUACUGGGCGUAAAGCGUGCGCAGGCGGUCCGUUAUGUCGGAUGUGAAAGCCCCGGGCUCAACCUGGGAAUGGCAUUCGAAACUGGCGGGCUGGAGUGUGGCAGAGGGGGGUGGAACUCCUGGUGUAGCAGUGAAAUGCGUAGAGAUCAGGAAGAACACCGAUGGCGAAGGCAGCCCCCUGGGCUAACACUGACGCUCAGGCACGAAAGCGUGGGGAGCAAACA